UGGAUGAAGGCGCUCGUGGAUAACGUUGGGAAUAAAGGGAGCUUGAUUAGGCCUAGAGAAGCUAGGCGAGAACACCCAUAUCGCUAUUAAAAAUUCCUACUACCUUGAAUGGGGCAUUCUGGUUGCUGUUGUGUGCCUAGGCUAUCAGAAAGCCUUUGAGGUUCUGCAUAAAAGCCCUUCAGUAACCAAUAAGAUGCCUAAGCGGAAUGUAUGACAACUGUGUGCCGAUGUGCCCACAUUGCUAGAGUGGCGAGUAGUAACCCUAAUUACU
Molecule: long non-coding RNA, 271 nt
Filed under: Limulus polyphemus (Atlantic horseshoe crab)
Lineage: Eukaryota; Metazoa; Arthropoda; Merostomata; Xiphosura; Limulidae
Description: uncharacterized LOC111087380, transcript variant X2
Source: RNAcentral